AACUACAGUCAAGUGACUGGUUUCUAAGUCUCCUUUUCCUUUGCUGAGUGAACAUGAUGCUACAAUAAGGCAGAAUGAAUAGCUCCAGAGGGUCACACUCACUGUCUGAUUGCAUGGAGCUGGGUCUGACCUGAGCAAAGCACAGUGGAAGAAAGAAAAUGAUAAGGAAAGAUGACAAGAGUCCAAUCACUCCCAAGUCCUCAGUUUCCACUGUUGCCUCUACCUUGCUGUGAUGUCCACUUCUAGAUGGAUCCUGGCUCUCAUGUCUGCGAUGACCCUUUGUAACUCAGGGGAAGAACCCACCAACACAGCCUAUCAUGCUUCCUCAACUAUUACCCUGGGUUUGAAGAAGAGAGACUAUGCACAGAGCCCUGGCUCACUUCAUUCUCGUUGCUAUCCUCUCUUCCCACAUAUGGGGGUUUCAGCCCCUGAGCCUGCUUGUCAGCAGUGGACCGCUGCCUCUUUAAUGGGUAUUUGUGGUCAAUGAUGCAUGAGGCAUUGGUACUACAUCCUCUUUAAUGUGGAGGUUUUAGGUCAGGGAGACAUGGGGCAUUCAUAUUGUAUGCAUCAGCGUCUGCAUAUCCCAGGACGAUCCAAGACUUUGCAAGGAUCAAGAGAUCCCCAAACUUACAGAACUAAUUAGGAUCAGAUUCUGGGACUGGGAGCCGACUUGUCUGAUGUCCAGUCUCAACGAUCCAUGGCUUUGCCUUCAGAGGAUGAGUGACUGAAAGAGUGGUAUUUGAGAACGUUCUGUUCGGAUGCA
RNAcentral lists this long non-coding RNA (763 nucleotides) under Rattus norvegicus (Norway rat). RNAcentral's name for it is "long non-coding RNA NONRATT002195". The record is from RNAcentral. Lineage: Eukaryota; Metazoa; Chordata; Mammalia; Rodentia; Muridae.